UGGGGAAUCUUGCGCAAUGGGCGAAAGCCUGACGCAGCCAUGCCGCGUGAGUGAUGAAGGCCUUAGGGUUGUAAAACUCUUUCACCGGGGACGAUAAUGACGGUACCCGGAGAAGAAGCCCCGGCUAACUUCGUGCCAGCAGCCGCGGUAAUACGAAGGGGGCUAGCGUUGCUCGGAAUUACUGGGCGUAAAGGGCGCGUAGGCGGAUCAGCAAGUUGGGGGUGAAAGCCCGGGGCUCAACCUCGGAAUUGCCUUCAAAACUGCUGAUCUAGAGUACGGGAGAGGUGUGUGGAACUCCGAGUGUAGAGGUGAAAUUCGUAGAUAUUCGGAAGAACACCAGUGGCGAAGGCGACACACUGGCCCGUUACUGACGCUGAGGCGCGAAAAGCGUGGGGAGCAAACAGGAUUAGAUACCCUGGUAGUCCACGCUGUAAACGAUGAUUGCUAGUUGUCGGCAGGCAUGCCUGUCGGUGACGCAGCUAACGCAUUAAGCAAUCGCCUGGGGAGUNCGGUCGCAAGAUUAAAACUCAAAUGAAUUGACGGGGUCAUAGCUGUUUCCUG
This 561-nucleotide ribosomal RNA is filed under the name uncultured bacterium. RNAcentral's name for it is "partial 16S ribosomal RNA". It matches the Rfam family "Bacterial small subunit ribosomal RNA", at positions 355 to 1376 of the family's 1533-position model. The record is from RNAcentral.